AUAAGUACAGAAGUGUACAUGUGUACAAUAGGUGCAAAAGUGUACAUGUGUACAAUAGGUAUUCUAAUGUAUAUGUGUACAUUAAAAUAGUAGUGCACAUGUGUAUAAUAAUAACCAAUAAUUAGUUCAAGCUAACAUGAAAACACACACUAAUCAUUAUUAUUGCAUACAACAAGGGUUAAAAUGCAUAUUUAGAAGUUUGGAGUCAAUGAAAGAAGACAAAUCUAUGUAUUCAAUAAUUUAUGGUCAAGUUAAAAACAUAACUAAACAUCAAUGACUUAAAGUGAAAAUAAAAGAAAUUUGAUUUGGUGGAGAUCAAUCGUUAACAUCUUCAUCUUCGUUCUAACCUAGCUGCUAACGUAAGGAGACAAGAACAGUCCCGAGUGAUCGCGUUUGUUAUUCACCACAAAACCAGUUGCUCUCGUGCCACGUCCAUAAGAAGCUUCGCUACAGCCGCUAUGAAGCAUCACCACCGGAGUCGUCACUCUCACCGGAGGUAGGUAGAGUCGAAUAUCGUUGUUGUGUCAGAGCCACUGAAAAUUUUCAUCAUCGUUGAUGAUUGUAUCUGAGACAGUAGAGACUCUUCAGCAAUUUCAAUGAAAACUCAUUUCUGUUAAAGCCAAAACACCACCUAAAUAAGAGAAACCGAAGAGCAAAAAAAUGACUAAAAUAUCACCUAAUUCGUUAUAGAAAUACAUUGAAAUUGCCAAAUAUGAUUUUCUUCUCUUAGUAAAACAGGAUCGUUUAUUUGUUGGUGCUUGAUAAACAUUAUCCCCAUGAAAGUGUUGUUGUUGGUCGUUCAUAAUCAGAAGAAAAAGAAAACCAGAUAACAAAGACAAUAAUUGAAGAAAAUUUCUCUGAAUUUUGUUUCUGAAGAAUCAAAUCCAAUUUACAAAAAAAAAAGGGAAUUUGGGAGGAGGAAGAUAACGAUAAAAAAAUGACUAAGAAAAUAAGAAAUAAGCUUAAAUGACAAAUAAUCUGGGCUGUCCAAAAUAAAAGGUAGUAAAGUG
RNAcentral lists this long non-coding RNA (1010 nucleotides) under Brassica napus (rape). Its description in RNAcentral is "long non-coding RNA (BNAP_LNC010587)". Lineage: Eukaryota; Viridiplantae; Streptophyta; Magnoliopsida; Brassicales; Brassicaceae. The record is from RNAcentral.